CCUACGGGAGGCAGCAGUAGGGAAUCUUUCACAAUGGGCGAAAGCCUGAUGGAGCAACGCCGCGUGCAGGAUGAAGGCCUUCGGGUUGUAAACUGCUUUUAUAAGCGAGAAAUAUGAUGGUAACUUAUGAAUAAGGAUCGGCUAACUACGUGCCAGCAGCCGCGGUCAUACGUAGGAUCCGAGCAUUAUCCGGAGUGACUGGGUGUAAAGAGUUGCGUAGGUGGCAUAAUAAGUAGCUAGUGAAAUCUGGUGGCUCAACCAUUCAGACUAUUAGCUAAACUGUUAAGCUCGAGACCGUUAGGGGUAACUGGAAUUGCUAGUGUAGGAGUGAAAUCCGUAGAUAUUAGAAGGAACACCAAUAGCGUAGGCAGGUUGCUGGGACGGUUCUGAUACUAAGCCACGAAAGCGUAGGGAGCAAACGGGAUUAGAUACCCCGGUAGUC
RNAcentral lists this ribosomal RNA (442 nucleotides) under uncultured bacterium. RNAcentral describes it as "partial 16S ribosomal RNA". It matches the Rfam family "Bacterial small subunit ribosomal RNA", at positions 338 to 795 of the family's 1533-position model. The record is from RNAcentral.